UAUAAUAUUUUGACUAUAUGUUUUGUUAGAAAUUUUUUUACGAUUAAUAUUUUUAUUGUUAUUAGAUGAUAAAAUAUAAAUAGUAUUUUAUGGGUGACUAAUUUUUUAAAUUUUUUUAUAAAUUUUUCAAAUAAGACGAAUGGUUAAACGUUGGACAUGGAAA
This 163-nucleotide microRNA precursor is filed under the name Oryza brachyantha (malo sina). RNAcentral's name for it is "MIR812 microRNA precursor family". It matches the Rfam family "MIR812 microRNA precursor family", at positions 27 to 187 of the family's 205-position model. Lineage: Eukaryota; Viridiplantae; Streptophyta; Magnoliopsida; Poales; Poaceae. The record is from Rfam by way of RNAcentral.